AUGGAGGAUUUUGUGGCAUGGAGAUUCACAAAGAACAACCUGUACACAGUCAGAUCGGCGUAUCAUGCUGAGUGGGAUCACCAGUUCGGACGAUGGUUUGCGAGAACUGAAGGUCAACAAUCACAACAAUAUCCAGUAUGGGCGAAACUGUGGGACUCCUCAUUGCCGGGCAAAAUCAAGAUACACGCGUGGAAACUUUUCCAUGGGUUCAUACCAUGUUUCGGAGUCCUGGCAAAUCGACACAUUGCUAUGCCCAGGAACUGUCCAAUGUGUGCAGGAGGAUGUGAGGACAUCAAGCAUGUGCUGUUUACUUGCCCAAGAGCGGCUGAGAUAUGGAGGUGUCUAAAGCUAGAUGGAUUUGUGGAGGAGCCGAGUAAUGUGGACAGAGCUGGCUCAUCGGUUCUGGACUAUAUCUUAUGUGCGCCGAAGAGAGGAAGUCUGCUUCCAGAUGUGAGUGCACAGUCAUUAAUCCUCAUGGGGAUUUGGCAUGCAAGAAAGAAGGAGACGGGGGUAAAAAAGGAAGGAUGGACCAAGCCGAGGGAGGGAUAUGUUAAGCUCAAUGUUGAUGCAGCUUUCCAUGUAGAAACUCUCAAUGAAGCAGUCGGGGCAGUGCUGAGGGAUGAAAAAGGGGGAUUCAUAGCUGCACCCAAUGAAAAACUUGAGCAUGUGGCGGACGCGGCAACAACAGAGGCAUAUGCCUUGAGACAUGGGCUCCUUCUGGCGCAACAGGUGGGAGUGAACAAGCUGGUGGUGGAGGCGGAUUGCUUGGAAGUGAUCAACACGAUGAACUCGGGCGGAUUCACGGCGACAGGAGCGGCGACAAUUUAUGCAGACUGCAAUGUCUUAAUAGUAGGUUAUACUUCGGUGUCUUUCAUCCAUUGCCCUAGGGAGGCAAAUUGUGUCUCUCAUGAGCUAGCUAGGCUGGCGGUCUCAAACCUACCCUCGUUGUGGGUUGAGAAACCACCGGCAUCUAUUGUAAGGUGGCUGGUGGAUGAUGUAACGGUGAUUUAA
RNAcentral lists this ribosomal RNA (1011 nucleotides) under Triticum aestivum (bread wheat). RNAcentral's name for it is "partial small subunit ribosomal RNA". The record is from RNAcentral. Lineage: Eukaryota; Viridiplantae; Streptophyta; Magnoliopsida; Poales; Poaceae.